CAGUAGGAAUCUUCGGCAAUGGAACGAAAGUCUGACCAAGCAACGCCGCGUGAGUGAAGAAGGUUUUCGGAUCGUAAAACUCUGUUGGUAGAGAAGAACGUUGGUGAGAGUGGAAAGCUCAUCAAGUGACGGUAACUACCCAGAAAGGGACGGCUAACUACGUGCCAA
RNAcentral lists this ribosomal RNA (168 nucleotides) under uncultured bacterium. RNAcentral describes it as "partial 16S rRNA". It matches the Rfam family "Bacterial small subunit ribosomal RNA", at positions 352 to 511 of the family's 1533-position model. The record is from RNAcentral.